CCUACGGGUGACAGCAGUGGGGAAUAUUGCACAAUGGGGUAAACCCUGAUGCAGCGACGCCGCUUGAAGGAAGAAGUAUUUCGGUAUGUACACUUCUAUCAGCAGGGAAGAAAAUGACGGUACCUGACUAAGAAGCCCCGGCUAACUACGUGCCAGCAGCCGCGGUAAUACGUAGGGUGCAAGCGUUAUCCGGAUUUACUGGGUGUAAAGGGAGCGUAGGCGGCGAUGCAAGUCAGAAGUGAAAGCCCGGGGCUCAACUCCGGGACUGCUUUUGAAACUGUAUGGCUAGAUUGCAGGAGAGGCAAGUGGAAGUCCUAGUGUAGCGGUGAAAUGCGUAGAUAUUAGGAGGAACACCAGUGGCGAAGGCGGCUUGCUGGACUGUAAAUGACGCUGAGGCUCGAAAGUGUGGGGAGCAAACAGGAUUAGAUACCCGGGUAGUC
Molecule: ribosomal RNA, 440 nt
Filed under: uncultured bacterium
Lineage: Bacteria
Description: partial 16S ribosomal RNA
Rfam family: Bacterial small subunit ribosomal RNA
Source: RNAcentral